Molecule: long non-coding RNA, 27790 nt
Filed under: Gossypium barbadense (sea-island cotton)
Lineage: Eukaryota; Viridiplantae; Streptophyta; Magnoliopsida; Malvales; Malvaceae
Description: long non-coding RNA (GBAR_LNC022940)
Source: RNAcentral
GUGGAUCUUUUCAUUGUGGGGUGUGAGGAAAUAGAACGACUCAUUUUAGCCAAGGAUCAGGUUUCUUCAUCAUCAUCAAAUGGUGAUACUAGCCUCCAACCUAUGACCUUUCCCAAUUUGACUCGGAUCGUUGUUACAAAUUGUAAAAAAUUGAGUAGUCUCUUUCCUUUUGGAUUUGUUCCUGUUCUUCCAAAGCUUGAAAGUCUCAUAGUUAAAAGGAAUUCUAAAUUGGAACAAGUAUUCGAAUUAGAAGAAAAAGUGGAAGUGGUAGCUGAAGAGGAGAUGAAAUUUGAUAAAUUAAAAAGGUUAUCACUUGAAGAACUACCUGGCCUCAUUCACUUUUGUCCCAAAGGAUAUCAUUCUGUAUUCCCAACAAUGAUAGAGUUGAAAGUAAGAGAUUGCCCUAAGUUGACUACUGGUUUCUUCAUUGAUUCACAGGAAUUUGUACAUUGCAAAACGAAGGUAUAUAUCCUACAACCCUUUAAUCCUACUUUAUUCUAUGUAAUUAUAACAAUUACAACUGAAGGCAUAACAUGCAAAAUUUUUAAUUAAAUUCCUUGAGUAUCUAUGGGUUUCUUAUUUUUUUCCUUGAUGACAUGAGAUUAAAGUUUCAGUUGCUUGAGCAAGAUGCGGUUGAAGAGUCUACCACUGUUCGAAAUACAAUUUUCAACAAGAAUAUAAAUUGGAGCCGAUGAUGGGGGUGAGAGUCAACUACCACACAUUACAUGAAAGAAUGGAUGAUUUUAAGGUAGCUUUCAAAGCCAUGUUACAUCAGUAGGUGGAGCAAUGUUGCUCGGAUGUUUUUAGUUAAGUGUCUGAUAUAAUUUGUGUGUGAUGGAACAUGACCUUUAGCGGCGCUUUUUCCACAAACGCUGUUAUAGAACAUGAUCUUUAAAAAUAAUUAUUUUAAUUAAAUAAUAUUUAUUUCUAUGAUAAAAUAUUAUUUUAUGUUUUAUUUUUGAAAUUUGAACUUUAAACUAUAUACUAAAUAGAAAAAUAUUAAUUAAAUUAAAUUUUCUAUUAAAAUUUUAAAUUUAAAACUAAAUAUAAAAAUUAAUGAAUUUAAAUUUAGAAUUUAAAUAUUAUGUUUUUAAUUCAAGUUCAACUUUUGGCACACCUUACAAACAUGGGCUCUAAACAGGGAGAAAGAAUGCAUCUCGGGCAACAAAAAUCAAAACAAUACAAAGGUAAUAUCUUCAAUAAUUUUAUCAAUAUCGAUACGGUACAAUAACCCUGCUCACAAGUUACAAUCAUUGUUAUGCCCGAGUCAUAAUAUUUAUAUACCAACAAUGAAGGAUCCAACCUCAUAAUCAAUGAACCUAAUCUAGUUAGGAGCUACAAUUUCCGCUAUAUCUUCAAAUUCCCAAAUAAGGUCUAAUCUCCAAAAUUUCAAAAUCCCUGAGGUUAAAGAGUGCAAACCAGUCAUGAAAAUUCUCAUUCUACCUGUGCUAACUGAGUCCCAUGUCCAUUUGGAGCAAGCAAAACAAGACCAUGCAGGACAUUUCUAAAUCCAACUAUCUCAAUUAGGCCAUCAUCUACAAAAGGAGUCAAGCCUCUCUAUAAACUAGAAUCCCCAAUCAAAAUCUUCUGGUUAGAAAUUAGUUUGUUAGAGCAGAUAAAAUUAUUUUAAAUAACAGUAUUUUAAAUAAUAGUAGUUUAAUUUUUUCAUUUUUAACAUAUAUUUUUCUAUGGUUUUACUUUCAAAUGUUUUCUACAUGUCAUUAAUUUUUCUGAAGAUUUUUAAUAUUAAAUUAAAAAUAAAUUGUAUUUUAAUUAAUAUAAAGAAACUAGUUAAAUAAUAAAUAGAAGAGGAUGAAAGAGUGCAUGAGUUGUCGAAAAGAAUACAUGAUUGGCCACUUGGAUGAUGGGUGAGAAUACAGGGAGCAAAACGGCGCCGUUUGUUUAAAAUAAAAUGAUUUUUUGCAGUAUAUAAGAACGCCGCUAAUGCUUGACUUUUUACGGUAUUUUUCUCAUAAGCGCCGCUAUUGCUAGACCUUCUGCACGCCACUACUAGACCUUUUGCGGCAUUUUUUUCAUAAAUGCGCUAUAGCUCUAACCUUUUGCAGCAUUUUUUGAUUAGCGCCUCUAAUGUAUAACUUUUACGGUGUUUUUGGUCCAAACGCCACUAAAAAUGCCGCUAAAAGCUUAAUUUCUUGUAGUGAUUUAAGUCUUAUGUCCAUUUUCGAUUCACAAGAAUUCUAUGAAUUUUAAAAAAAUAGCCUUACAUGGAGAUGAUAGUCCACGGUCUAUUUCCUAAGAACCACAACCUUGACAAUAAAAAACAAUUUAUAACAAAUAUAUAAUAUCACAUCCAUUCUUAUAUAUAACUCAAAACAUACAUAAGAUCUAAAGAAUGUCACUCUCUAUGUGAUCAAAUCAUUCAAGAAGAAGUGAAAUUUAUUUUGAUUAUCUGUUUAUACUUAUAGAUAGAGCACAAAAUGGCUCUGUUUAUAUAACAAACAUAAAUAUCAUUCACAAUCUAGACAAUUAUAUAUAACAUUAAUUUAGUCAAUCAUGUCAUGGAUUCUAGCAAUUUUCCAUGUUAUCAGGGACUUAAUUGAAUAAAAAUAAAACACUAAAAAAUAGUUCAAAAACUAUUCCGGGACUAAACUGAACAAAUCAUAAAAUUCUAGGUAAAAAUUUAAAAUAGGGGCACAUGGCCGUGUGCAAUGCCUUCAGCCAUGCGAAGGGGUUACACUAUCGUGUGAUAGACUGUGGCCGUGUGGGUCAUGCAAAACCAAGGUGCAAGGGAGACACAGUCAUAUCAAGGGUCCUAGGCCAUGUGAGAAUCGAAGAUCCUUGGGUUUCAGGGGGACAUGGUCGUGUGAGGGGCCGUGUGACCCACACACUUGUGUGGUGCUAUCAUAGGCACGAUUUUUCCCCGAUUCAUCGAGAUCUUGAGCGAUGUCCCUCACGUUCAAAUCUGAUCCAGUAUCCCUAAAUUGGGUCCUUCAAACGACAAUUAUACAAGAGUUAACAUUUGUAUAUUAACAAAAGAUUUUUCAAGAACCGUGAAAGAUUAACUAAUUGAUUUGAAAGAUCAAUAUCGGAUAAAAAAUUUAUGAAAUUUGUUCUGCUGAUUCACCAAGUUUGAGGAUAGACAUGAUUGAUGUUGUUUCCAAGCUUUGUUCUAUUAGAUGCAAGCUUCUUACCAAACGUUAUAUGAUGCUAAAUCCGCAGGUAUAUAAUAACGUCUUCUUAUGCUGAAGUAUACAACUUGCGUUAUUCUUAAAAAAAUCAAUCAUUACAUUACUUAAAACACAUUGAAUUCCACUACGUGAUAAAUCCUUGUUUUCAAAUUUUGUAGGUACCUAAGGUGCCAUAAUAUCAAUGGAAUCGAGCGGCUUAUUGUAGGCAAAGUGCAACUACUCUCCUUUAUUCAUAUUGUAUUGUGUAUUUUCAGGACUUGAUUUCUCCUAAGAAAACUCGACUUUAAGAAUAAUAUGUUAUAUAGUGUGUGUUUGUAAUUUCUAUUAAACAUAAACCACUUCCCUUUGUAAAUCCAUAAAUUAGAACUUUGUGCUGGUAACUAAAUCUACUAUGUUCUUCUAUUGCAUAUUUGCAACUAUUGUAUAUUUUGCCUUUGAAUUUUAUUUCUUUAACAAAUAACGAAAUUCGGAUUACAUAAUCUAACAUAUCUAUAUUUAUUAUAUAAAUCUUAUAUAUUUCUAAUUUUAAUAUUCUUUAAGAGUCCAAAUAUAAAUGAUAAAAGAAAUCAAAAAUCAAAAAUUGUUUUAAUUCAAAUCAUGAAUAUUCUAUCAAUUUUAAUAUUCAAAUCACAAAUUUAUAUUUUCUUUUUAUUUUUUUAAGAUUUUUAUUUUUUAUACUUUUUAUAAUUAAGUUUAGAAUGAUAAAUCUUGUAAAUAGUGAAGACUGGAUUUAUUUUAGAUUUGAGGUCAAAUUGAUUAAAUGUGUAAAUUAUAAAUGCCUAAAUUUAUUAUUAAACUAAUAAAACAAAACUCAUGUUAGACUUCCGUUAGAAAAUUAAAGAAAAAGUGACUAAAAUUCAAUUUCAAAAAAUUAAAUGAUUAAGAAAAAAAAUAAUAGUUAAGUGUCAAUGAACUAAAUAGUUGGGUUACAAUAAAACAUCUCAAUUGAGGAUAAUUUCUGGUUUUCAACUUUGGUCAGCACAAAGCAUAGUGGUUCAGCAUGUUUAAACCAUAUAUCUUAAUAUUAUUUAUAAUUGAGGAAUAUCAUGUAAAAAUAUAAUUCUUAAUUAUUAAGUAAUAAUUUCAAUUUUUAAAAAUUUUUUUGUUACAAUCAGGAUCGAAGUCAAGAAAAAAUUUUAGGGGGCCAAAAUGAAAUUUUAAUUUUUAUUAGUCUAUAUCUUUAUAAUUUUUAAAGAAUUAAAUUAAAAUUUCAUAAUUUUAAGGAGUAAAGUGUAAUUUUAUCUUUACUAAUUUAAAAUUUUAAAAUUUUCUAAAGAGCUAAAACAACAAUUUUCCAUUUUAAAAGGAGCUGAGGACCCUGCCAGUCCCCUGGGUUCACCUCUAGUUACAAUAUUAGGGAAGAGGAGGGGAUAAUAAGGUUUCAAUUCGCAUUAUCUAAGUAUUAGACAAAAGCUUUAACCACUAUUUCCAAUAAGUCUUGGUAACUUUCAAUCAGAUUAAAAUAUGUCAAGUUCUUGUACUUAUUCCAAAUUUGAAAUUGACUACGUGUACUUUUAUUUUAGGAAUUUAAUCCUACUUUUCAAAUUUCAAAAUUAAAAUCCAAUUAUUAUCAUUGUUAAAUUUAUGAGUAAACUAUUAAAAUAGUCACUUUUAUUUACCUCGGGUUACAUUUUAGUCACUUAUGUUUGAAAUGUUACUUUUGAGUCGUUACGUUAACGCGUUGUAACAUUUUAGUCACUGAGCCAUUAGUUACCGUUAAUGGUGUAACGGUAAACUGACAUGGCACGUUAAAUUUUCAUUUCAAACAAAAAUUUUAGAUUAAAUUAUAAAAUUGGUCACCAUAUUUUUUUUUUGUUUUAGACAAUUUAAUUUUUUCUUUUAUGCUCUUUCAACUUUUUUUUUCUUUAUUUUUCAUUCUCUUUUGCUUCUCCCUUCGUAUUUCUCCCUUCUCCAUCUCUUUUAAUGUAGUUUUUCUAUAUUUUUCAUUUGUUAAAGUCUUUUUAAUGUUUAUGAAAAAAGAACAUGUGAAAGCUGAAACCAAAAUAAAACUUGCUUCGCAUAUUCUUACCGCACAAUUACAAACCCUUAUUUUCCAUUACCACUUUAACGAAUCAAUUUGGAUCUCUCAAUGACCAUCUUAUCUAUCUUACCUACAACAUUCUCUCCCUCUUGAAACUACAUUAUUUUACGAAUUCUUCAAACGAGCUCUACAUUCUUAAUGACUAAAACGACCACUAUACGAAACUUACCAUCAACUUUAUCCAAACCAGUUUGGUUCCAUGCUCCCUUUCUCUCUUCGGUUCAUCUAUGCUUGCUUCCAAUCAAACUUGUUUGGGAAUAUCCAAGAAGGUUUAAAUCAAUUUUAUCGUUUGCUUAAUUUUAUUUGUCUGAAAAUAAAAGAAAGAAAAGGAAUAAUCUACAGGAUUGGGUAAAAGUUUGGAAAUAGAAAAAAAUUGUUUUAAAUAUAAAAAAAAUCAAUUUUAAAAAUUUUCCAAAAAAUUUAAAAGUAUACUUUUAUUUUGUGAAAAAUAAAAUAAAAUUACAUCCAAUCAACUACUAAAAAACACUAAAUGCUUUGUCUUGUUGAAGGUUCAUAGAUAGAGUGUCAAGAGGCACUUCAAAGAUCUGUAAGCUUGCUUGUCAUGUAAGGCUAAUUUUUACCAGUUGAUCUACAAUUAAAAUGCAAUCCCUAGGUACGUAUCUGAUCUCCCAUUGUUCUUCGGAACGCAUAAGUUAUUGAAUCCUUAUGAGUAAGGUAAUACCUAAGUACACUGACUUCUUCAUGGUCAAAACUUUAACCACCUUCAAAUUAUUUAUCUGAAUUGUGGCUCUCUUGUAACCCUUAUUUAAUAAGAUGAAGAGUCCAUCUAGAAAACCACAAAGUUCCAUCUCAAAAGGUGAGCAUCUGCCUAGAUAGUGAUUAAAGCCCAAUAUCUAAUUUUCAAACUGAUCACAAAGCAACCCCCCAACAGAAGCAUUCCUGAAAUCUCUGCUCCAUCAGAGAAUUGAUGUACCUAAUUUCCUUCAUAGUGUGAGUGGAAUAGCGAAUUAAGAGGAUUAGCCUGGGAACCGUUAAGAAAAGGUUCAAACUAUUGUUCACAACUUAACGAGACUUUGACAAUUUCAUAAGCCGUCCAAGUAAUAUUUUGGAAGAUGAAUAAAUUUAUGUUAUUCCAAAUUCUCCAUGCAAUUAAACUGAACAAACAUGACCAAGUAACUCCGCUAUCUUGCAUCUUAAAAUGACAAUAUAGAUUAGAGGAAAACCAAAUUUGAAAAGGAUCAGAAAAGAACCUGUGUAGCUUCUGAGAUGGAACCACAUGCACCCAUACUUCUUUUGCUAUCAUACAGUCCCGAAGAACAUAUAAAAUGUCUUCUGUAUCAUGUCCACAAAGAAGACAAUAGUUGGUGUGGCCAAUUCCUCUCCUAGUAUAUAAGCUCUGAAUUAGUGAGAAGUCUUUGUUUUGAUACUAGCCAACGGAAAAAAAUGGACUCUUUGGGGGCCUUGAUAUUUUCAAGUAUCCUUCCAACUGUCUUCUUUGGGGUUCCAAAAGUCUUCUUUUAAGGCCCAAUGAUCAUUGCGAACAAAGAAAGACCUUGACCUUGAACAAGCCCAGAUGACCCUAUCCUCCCCACUAGUAGAAUGUGGGGAGAUACUCACUAUACGCUUAAUCACCUUUUCGGGCAGUCAAAUACAAAACAAAUCCAAGUUCUAUGAUCUAUCAAGUAAUACCCAAUCUCUCAGAGUGCACUCCAAAUCUAGUCUUGUACGAAUUGGAGCAUAUGACAGUAGAAGACCACUUCCCAGUACCCAAGAAUCCUUCCAACAAUGAAUACUAGAACCAUUACCAACAGACCAAAUUAGAUUCUCAUGAAAUAGAGGCCAAACCUUAGAAAGGGAGUGCCAUAGGUGUGAGCUUUGGCUUCUAGAAAUGGAUUUCGGAAUGUGACUGUUCCAUCCACAUUUUAAACGAAUGACUCAAACCCAUAAAGCAUCCUCCAUGGUGACCAAAUUGAAACCAAACCUUCAUAAGAAGGGAAUUAUUUUGAUCCUUGAGAUGCCGAAGUCUAAGACCACCUUGAGACCUUGGCUGAUAGAUGGACUCCCACCUCACCACAACAAGUUUUGGCUGUCCAGCAGAACAACUCCAUAUAUACUGCCUUAUUAUCUUCUUGAACUCGAUCAUAAAGGAGGGGCACCCCCAAGUAGAUCCCAAGAUUUAAGAAAUUUCUGAAACCCAAAUAUCUGGCUAAUCUGAACACACAAAUCAGUCUCAACUACUUUGGAAAAAUACAUGUUACUUUUCCUUACACUAAUUUUAUGCCCAGAAAAAUCACAAAACUGAUUCAGAAUUCCUUUUAACAAAUAAACUUGUUCCACCUUCGCUUUGCCGAAAAUGACUAGAUCAUCUGAAAAAAAAAAAAAAAAAAGACGAGAUAAUGCUGAACCCGAUCUUGAUAGUCAAAUUGAAUUCCACCGACCAACAUCUAUUUCCGUACAAAUAAUGUGACGAAAAAAAAAUCAGAAUUUUUUAGAGAGAUAUAUAUGGAAGGUUGCAUUGUUUUAUACAAAUAUCUUAACUAUCAGAAUAUUUUAGAUUUCUCCUUACAUUUUCUUUGUAUUUUCUAUCUAUUAUAUAUUUUUCCAAAAAAUAUAUAUUAUUAAAGUUUCUGUAAAUUUUUUAUAAUUAUAUAUAUAAUUUUCUGAUUUUUUAAAAUUUUUUGAGAUUUAAAAAGCUUCCUUUUUUUCUAAAAAAAAAAGAAAAAUAUUUUCUUAAUAUUUUCUCUAUGCACAACAUUGGUUUAACCUACAAACUAAUACUUAGAUUAUGUCAUUUUUUUCAUCUUCGUGCUUAAACUUUUUUUGUCACAAGUAGUACAUAAAUUAUUUUUUUCUUAAAUUGGUAUCUCCAUUAGUCAAACCAUUAAGUCUAUUUAAAAAAAAAAACUUAACCCACAAAUUACGACCUAAACAAUACUCUCUUUUUCGACAAUUGUUUUAUUCUAAAAAUAAAAAUAAAAUAAAUAAACAUAAAAAAGUGAAACCAAUUACUCCUAAUAAAAUGUCUUCGUCUUUCACUAAUUAAUGAUAUUUUUAAAUAAAAUAACUCUCACAAGUUUUAAAACGUAAGACUUGAUGAAAUUCUAUCUAUAAUUUAAACAAUUAAAUUUUAUUAUCCAUUUUUGUAUUAUGUGCAACUUGUAUAUUUAAUUUUUAUACUUUAAUUUAAUUAAUUUUUGUUCUUAAUUUUUUAAUUUUUAAAAUUUCAAUCAUGAUUAAUUAGCAUUUAUUAAAUUUUUUAGGUCAAAUUAUCCUAUUUGAUGUAUCACCUUGUCCAAUUGUUAACCACGUUAAAAAAAAUUCUUAUUUAUAUCUGUAUUUUUUCUCUUUUCUUUUUUUUUUGUAUUUUUAUCUAUAUCUGUAGAAGAGAAGUUUUUUUUAUACACGGUAAGUAAGCAAAGGAAGCAGGUAAGGUAAAAAUAGUAAAAAGUAAUUCGUCAACAAUGCCUGUGCCACUAGCGAAAGUGGUGAACAAACUUGAUAAUUAAUUAUUCAUCAAUAAUUCAUUAACAAUACCUAUCCCACUAGCAAAAGUGGUGACGACUCUUCGUAAUCAAUCAUCCAUCAUUCUUUUCUUCAAUUAUUUGAGGAGCGCAAAGAAAAGUAAACUCAAAUUAAUGGUGUUCUUUAAAUAUGGAAAUAUUUGUUCUGCUCUAAUCACAUGCCUUAACCACCAUUAUUGGCUUUUCGAGAACAAAAAUUUUAAUUUCUUAGUCUUAGAUCGAAUCGAGUAGAAUCAAAUAGAAAAAAUAUAAGCUAAUAAAUCUUAUUUUAUCAUCUUAACUUAAUUUAAAAUUUUCUUUUAAUUCAAAAUGCAAUUUUCAACGAGAAUAUAGAUUGGAGCAACUACCACAUAUUACAUGAAAGAAUGGAUGGUUUUAGGGUAGCUUUCAAAGCCAUGUUACAUCAGUAGGUGGAGCAAUGUUGCUUGGAUGUUUUUAAUUAAGUGUCUUAUAUAAUUUGUGUAUGAUAGAGCAUGAUUUUUGAAUUAUUAUUUUUGAAUUGUUAACAGUGUCCUUGGCAUUAUUUAAAUAUUCAUACUUAAUUAUUCAAAAGUGGUGAAGACUCUUCAUACUUAAUUAUUCAUCAUAAAAAUAGUAACAAGUAGCAGCAUCAAUAAUUCAUCAACGAUGCCUGUCCCAGUGGCGAAAGUGGUGAAGACUCUUGAUAAUUAAUUAUUCAUCAUAAAAAAAAAAAAAAAGUGACCGCGUGAAGAAUUCAUUGACAAUUCCUAAAAAGUAGUGAAGAAACCCACAAUCUCUCACUGUUCUUUUCUUCCAUUAUUUGAGGAGCGUAAAGAAAACUAAACUCAAAUUCAAAUUAAUGCUCUAAUCACACGGCUUAACCAUGGUUAUUCCUCUUUGGAUUUUUAUAAAUUAUUUUCAUUUCUUUUAUAUUUUUGUCCCAGAGAUCGAUUUAUUUAUUUUUAUGGGUAAAUCAAUUUAGAAUUCAUAUUGUAAUACCCUAAAAUUUAGCUAUUAUUGUAUUAAUCUAAAACGAAAUCUAAUUAAGAGGUCUAAUUUGAAAAUUGUGUGUUCUAACUAAAUUAGGACUUAACUAAAAAAGCGUAAAAAUAAAUUAAAUAUUAAUAGUGAGCCUAUAGUGUCUAUUUCAAGAAAAAAAUUAGAAUUCAUAUAAAUUCUAAAGCAAAUCAAGUUAUAAUUCAUAUCAACUUGGAAAAAUUAGGGGUGUGUCUAUUUCAAGAAAAAAAAUAGGAAUUUAAGUCAAAAGUUUCCUAAUGAAGUCCGUUGUCCUUUAUAUUUUAGGGCUUGGAUUGACACCCUACACAGUCAAAUAGCCUAUUAGUCGCCCUCGAAGUCCAUGUUGGCAUUAUGAGAUUUCAAAAUAUUAAAAAGUGCGUAAAAAUACUUAUUUUGUAAAUAAUUAAAUUUAAACUGCAAAAGCUGAAAAUGUAAUAAAUAAAUAUAAAAUAGCCAGAAAACAAGUUCGUGAAGUGUUGAAAUGUACUAAAACUACCACCACAAUUGACGGCAGGUCACACACCAUGAAUGCUAGAUGUGAAUUAAUUCACAAACGGAUUCAGUAUUAAUUCAACUUGGAUUCAAUUCAAUAUAUCAUUCUUCCAAUGAGUAUAUCUAUGUUUUUAACCAUGGUGUCAACUGUUGCGAUAGAUAAAAAAACAAUUUAAGACCAUAGUAAGGGAAAAUAAAGUUUGAAUUGUUAACACUGUCCUUGGCAUUAUUUUCUUUUUAAUUUCGUCCAAAGUCUCGGGCAGUGAUUUCUACUUUCCAGUAUGAAUUCAAUGAAAAUCAACAUUUCCCCUCAAUCAUAUCAUUGUAAACAAAACAUAUAUAUAUAUAUAAAUACCGUAUUUUCUUUUUCUUUUUUUCUUCAUUCGUUGUAAAAUAAAUAAAUAGAAAAAUGUUCAAAAAUUUAACAUUAUAAGCAUUUCAAAAAGAAAACACAUUCAAGAACGUAGGUUUACAUACCUUAUUUUCUUUUCUUAGUUACUUCCAAUCUCAAAUUAAAAAAAACCUAAAAAUUGCUUCUUAAAAAGAAAAUCAACUUUUCACCUCUGUCUUAUCAUCAUCCGUAAUUAUUCAUCAUAAAACUAAUGAAAAAGUAAGAGCGUGAAGAAAUCAUCCACGAUGCCUGUGUCUCACUACCAAAAGUGGUGAAGACUCUUCAUACGUAAUGAUUCAUCAUAAAAAUAAUAAAAAGUAACAGAAUAAUUUGUCAGCAAUGCCUGUCGCAGUAGCGAAAGUUGUGAAGAAUCUUGAUAAUUAAUUAUUCAUCAUAAAAAUAAUAGAAACAACAACGUGAAGAAUUCAUCAACAAUACCUUUCCCACUGGCAGAAGUGGUGAAGACCCUUCAUGCUUAAUUAUUCAUCAUAAAAAUAGUAACAAGUAGCAGCAUCAAUAAUUCAUCAACGAUGCCUGUCCCAGUGGCGAAAGUGGUGAAGACUCUUGAUAAUUAAUUAUUCAUCAUAAAAAUAAUAAAAAAAGUGACCGCGUGAAGAAUUCAUUGACAAUUCCUAAAAAGUAGUGAAGAAACCCACAAUCUCUCACUGUUCUUUUCUUCCAUUAUUUGAGGAGCGUAAAGAAAACAAAACUCAAAUUCAAAUUAAUGCUGUGAACUAAAUAUUUGUUCUGCUCUAAUCACAUGGCUUAACCAUGGUUAUUCCUCUUUGGAUUUUUAUAAAUUAUUUUUAUUUCUUUUAAAUUUUUGUUCGAGAGAUCGAUUUAUUUAUUUGUACGGGUAAAUCAGUUUAGAAUUCAUAUUGUAACACCUGAAAUUUAGAAGUCUAAAAUAAUUAGCUAUUAUUGUAUUAAUCUAAAAUGAAAUCUAAUUAAGAGGUCUAAUUUGAAUUAGGACUUAACUGAAAAAAGAGUAAAAAUAAAUUAAAUAUUAAUAGUGAGCCUAUAGAGCCUAUUUCAAGAAAAAAAAAUAGAAUUCAUAUAAAUUCUAAAGCAAAUCAAUUUAUAAUUCGUAUCAACUUGGAAAAAUUAGGGGUGUGUCUAUUUCAAGAAAAAAAGUAGGAAACUAUUGUAUAAUAAAAAUUAGGAAUUUAAGUUAAAACUUUUCUAAAGAAGUCCUGUGUUGCAACACAAACUCCCUUGUCGCGAUAUGGUUGUUGACAUUUAUAUUUUAGGGCUUGAAUUGACAUCCUACACACUCCAAUAGCCUAUUAGUCACCCUCGAGGUUCAUGUUGGCCUAAUGAGAUUUCAAAAUAUUAAAAAGUGCGUAAAAACACUUAUUUUGUAAAUAGUUAAAUCUAAACUGCGAAAGCUGAAAAUGUAAUAAAUAAACAUAAAAUGGUCAAAAAACAAGUUCGUGAAGUGUCAAAAUGUACUAAAACUACCACCACAAUUGACAGCAGGUCACACACCAUGAACGUUAGAUUUGAAUUAAUUCACAAACGGAUUCAGUAUUAAUUCAAAUCGGAUUCAAUUCAAUAUAUUAUUCCUCCAAUGAGUAUAUCUGUAACACCCCUUACCCGAGACCGUUGCCGGAGUCGAGCACGGGGCAUUACUUAGCUUAUUUUACUAAUUCGGAGCAUAAAAAUUUAAUUUGAAAUUUAAUCACUAUUUACAGCAAUCCUACCCAAUCGCGCAGCAGUUACUUAAUUGAUUAUAACUCGAGGUACGGGACUCAAAAUUUAAUUCCGUAAAUUUUCUCUGAAACUAGACUCAUAUAUAUUCCUACCAUAAAAUUUUUAGAAUUUUUGGUUCAACCAAUUAGUGCAGUUUAUUAGUUAAAAUCUCCCCUGUUUCAUCACUCGACUGUCCUGACCUCUUGCCACUAAAAAUAAGUUUUCUCAUCGUAGGAUUUUCAUAUGGUGUUCUCACUUAUUCCUACCAAAAAUAGACUCAAUAAUGAAUCUAUACAUAUAAAUUACAACUUAUAACUAAUUUUGUACGAUUUUUAGUGAUUUUCUAAACUGAGAACAGGGGACUCCAAAAACAGUUCUGACCCUAUCUCACUAAAAUUCACAUAUCUUAAAAUAUAAGUUUCCUUUUGCUAUGCUGUUAUUUUUAUAUGAAAAUAGACUCAACAAGUUUUAAUUCCAUAUAUCAUUCACUCUCUAAUUCAUUUUAUAUUAUCCUAGGUGAUUUUUCAAAGUCACGUCACUGUGCUGCCUGAAUUCUGUUUCUUUGCAAAAUUUUACCCUUUCAUGAUUUCCAUGCAUCAUAUGUCACCUAGACUUUUAUAACAACAAACACCUUCAUACUUAACCAUUUUAAUAACCAUUCAUCAUCAAAUAUUUACAUAUCAUUCUCUAGCAAAAUCAUAAUUACAAACAUGCAAAAUAACUAUAUCCCUAUACAUGCCAUAACUCAAACGUGUUUCAUCCUAAAAUACCGAGUAGUUGUUCUUGAUAGUGUGGAAGAUCUCCGACUUCUUUAGGAUCCCUGAAGCAGCUUUGCAAUACUAUAAGAGAAAGAAAAAUAAAAGAAGUAAGCAUUAAGCUUAGUAAGUUUACUAGCAAAUAAAUAAUAACAUUUAACACAAAUGAUUAAACUCAAAUGUCAAUAUCUCUAAUUUACUCUUUAAUUAAUCUCAUUCUCAUUCUCUUGCUUGUUUACUUAGUUACCUCGUGAUUAUAACUUAUACUUCCGUUACUGAAACGUUGAGUAUCAAUUGAUAAUAUCAUAAGUUCUUAACUCUUAUAACUUACCUGAGCUUGCCACUUAUGCUUUUAACUGAACUUUCAUGAACAUGAGUUGUUUACUAACCCGUUGAGCUACAUUAGAAUAAUAAGGAUACUCGGGUCUCAUCUGAUAAUAACAUGCUAAAGCCAUGUCCCAGACAUGGUCUUACAUGGGAUGUUCUCGUGUCGGUGCCCAUGCCAUGUCCCAGACAUGGUCUUACGGGGGACCUCUCAUCUCAGUGCCAACGUCAUGUCCCAGACAUGGUCUUACAUGGGACCUCUCAUCUCGGUGCCAAUGCCAUGUCCUAGACAUGGUCUUACAUGGGACCUCUCAUCUCGGUGCCAAUGCUAUGUCCCAGACAUGGUCUUACAUGGGGCCUCUCUAUCCAAAUGUCAUGACAUUCAUAUCCAGUACCAUCCUUAUGUAUCAACGGGACUUUUUAAUUUUAAAUCUCUAUCAUUUCAUGCUUGGAUCAUCAUCAAAUAAAUUCAUGAAAUAAAUUCAUAGUUGCUGAAAAAUAGCAGCAUUAAUAAUAAUUAUUGAAAUAUUGCAUUUAUUUAUUGUAAAUUUACCUCGAUACCAAUUAUAGCCAAAUUCACCAAGUUAGCCUUCAACUUUAUUCUUUCAUUUGUCGAACCUCGAGUUUUGUUCUUCUUGAUCUAAAAUAGCAAAUUUAACUCAUUUAAUACUCACAUUUGUUAAAACAGCCCUCGACUCUAACUUUUUCAAAAUUAUGAUUUUGCCCUUAAACUUUUACAUAAUUAUAUUUUUUCCCCAAGGCUCGAAAAUUAAACUUCAUCCCAUAUAUUUAUGUUUUAUGACAUGCUAAACAUUUUUCCCUUCUAUGACAACAUCAAAUUCCCACUCUAACACUUACUUAUAAACAUUAGGUAUUUUUACCGAUUAUGUCAUUUUACUCAUUUUCACUUAAAAUCGGCUAGCAAAAGUUGUUUAACAUAAUUUCUAGCUUCAUAUUCUACCAUAAAACAUCAAAAUAAACACAUUUCACCUAUGGGUAUUUUUUCCAAAUAUAAACCCUAGGUUAAAUUAUUGCUAGAAUAAGCUAAAUUAAGCUACCGGGAUCUCAAAAACGUAAAGAACAUUAAAAACGGGACUUGAGAUCACUUACUAUGGAGCUUGGAAGCUUGAAAACCUUAACUAUGGCUUCCCCCCUUGCUGAUUUCGUCCAAAUGAAGAAGAUGAGCACAAUUUGUCAUCUUCUUCCCUUUUAAUUCAUUUUAAUUACUAGAUUACCAAAUUGUCCCUAACUUAAAAAUUUUCUAUUUCACUUAUCCCAUGUCCAUUUUUGUCUACCAACUUAACCAAUGGUCUAAUUACCAUAUAAGGACCUCCAAUUUAAAGUUUCAUAAAAAUUGGACACCUCUAACAUGUAGAACUCAACUUUUGCACUUUUUACGAUUUAGUCCUUUUAACUAAAUUGAGUGCCCAAACGUCGAAAUUUUUGAAUGAAAUUUUCACGAAAUAAUUUUGUGAAACCUUAGACCAUAAAAAUAUAAGAAAAAUAAAUUUUUCCUCAUCUGAUUUGUGGUCCCGAAACCACUGUUCCGAUAACUUUGAAUUUAGGCCAUUACAAUAUCUAUAUUUUUAUCUGUGGUGUCAAUUGUUGCGAUAGAUAAAAUUAGUCAUCUUUCUAAUUAGAAUUUUAGAUGACAUAAUAAUCAUUUUAAGUCUUUGAAUCAAAUGCACUCUUUGAUUCUUUUACAGGAUUAUGAACUCGUUUAGAUUAUCUAUUAAGGUAAGUUGUCUUUCUUGUAAUGUAAACGUUCUUACAGUGCCACUUAUCGUCUGUUUGAACUUAGAAAAUCAUUGAGCUAACAUUUGUUUAUCACAAUUUUUUUAUUUAUGCAAAAUAUGAAAGACAAAAACACAAAUAUAUAAUAGUGAAAUUUGAAAUUAACUUUAUUUAUUUAUUCAUCGUUCAAGUACAUAGAAAAUAAUUACAUGCUUACUACAAUAUGAACACAUUUCUCAACAAAUUUGGGGGUAAGGGUAAGGGUUGGGGUUCUUUGGGAAUGAACCCAAGUUCUCGUGCUUCCCAAGUUCUCGUGCUUACUAGCUAAUGUUCGUUGCCACUAAGCCAAAAGAUUAUUGGUAAUUUAUAAUAUUUUAUUAAAAUGCUUAAAAGAAUGAUAUUUUUCUUAUUUGAGGGAGAAACUUUCAAUUUGUUGUAUCCUUCAUUUAAAGAUAGGAAAUAAUUGAUAUUAUAUUUGUCUAAUACAUUAAAAUAAAAAUGAUUGAUAAUAUUAACAAAAAAUCAUUAGUGAAGUUUGAAAUAAAAAAAAGUUUAAUCGAUAUGUUGAUAUGAAAAUUAACUUUGAUGGGGUUCGCAGAUGUCCUUUCAAUAAUAUUUUUUAGUAUUCGGAUUUGAACUUUGUUAAAGGUGUAAUAUAUGUUACCACUACACUUAACACUUAUGGAAGAAAUUACAAUUUUAUUUUAAUUUAUUACAUUUCAAUUUAUUUAUGUACCAACGUAAAUAAAUAUAUAAAUUAAUCUAUUGUUAAUUUAGUAAAAAUAAUCAAUUUAAAAUUUUAGGUUAGUCAAAAUUUGGGGAUUGGUGGUAUAAAAAUAAAUAAAAUAAAAGACAUUUAUAUAAUAUAUUAUCAAAUUUUUAUUAAUAAUGCUUUAACUAUACAUUAAAGUAUUUAUAAAAUAUUAUAAUAUUCAAUAACAAAAAGCAGCUUUAUAUAUUUUACUUCAAUACAUUAACAAAGACAUUGACUUUAAUGGUAAUAAAAAUAAUGAUUAUUUUAUUACAAUAAAGAAAAGAAUGAUGAACAAUAAUUUGUUUUAUGAAUUUAAAUAAAAAAAGUAGGGUCUUCAUUUGUGAAUAACAAAUGAUGAAGAAACACAUUUGAAAGUUAAACCAACGACUUCCCAUUCUUCUUCCUCAUCCAAAGCGUUUUUUGCUUCCAAGUUCUCAAACCUGUGUUUCUCAUCAUUUCCACUCUUUGUUUUUGGCUUUCUAAUUCUCGAAUCUGUGUUUCUGAUCAUUUCCUUUUUUGCUUCCAUAUUCUCAAAUCUGUGUUUGUGGUCAUUUCCUUUUUUGCUUCCAUAUUCUGAAAUCUGUGUCUGUGAUCAUACCUUAAAACUUUAAAACUUUCUUUUAUUUCUGAAAUCCAAACUUUCUUCAUACCUUGAUUUCCACUUGGCAAAAGAAACAGCGCAGAGGAUAGUUGAGUGAAGGUAAGUUUUGAGGAACUGCUCCUCAUUGCUAUAUAUUUUCAUGUUUUUGUUGAGUGGAUCUCCGUUUUAUUUAUUGGCAUUCUCAAAUUUCUAUUAGUUUGGUUGGGGUCAUUUUAAGUCACUUGUGAUUUUAUUUUUCAUAAAGAAAGGUUUCAUACAAGUUCCGUCUUAAUUAAAGAGUUUAUAUAUUCAUUUUAAAGAUUUAACAACAACCUUGGAACUAGGGUGAGUAUUUGAUUAAGUCGAGUUUAUCCGAAUAACCUAAUUAACUCAAAUAACUCGAACUAGUUAAAUCAAAAUUUAAAUUUUUUAUCAAAAUUUUCGAAUCGAAUCAGAUUUUACUCAAAGUUGAAGUGUAUGACAUGCGAAUCAAGCAGGAAAGGGGCAAAUGAAGAGUGUCCUUUCUCCAUUCAUUAGUCUUCUCGUUUUUUUCAUUAAACAUUUUAGGGAGCACACAAACUCUAAUUCUAUAGGAACUUAAAAGCAUCCAAUCUAUAAUGGAAAAUGUAGAAAUAAAUAUAAAAUAUGUUUAAGAGAAUGUAAUCCUUUUUAGGAUUUCUUUAUGAGAAAUUGUUUUUGAAAGAAUAUGAUGGUAUUUCACAUACAAAUUAUAGCUCCGAUUUAGAAUGAAUAUAAUGGGAAGAGUAAUUACAUGUAUGCUUAUAUUAUUUGCAUUACAUUAAUUAUUUAUUUAUUUGUGAUAUGAAGGUUAAAACACGCUCUCAAUUUUAUUACCUGCACUAAAUCAAUUCUUUUCAUCUUUUACAGCUACUUAUUUCUCUCAAGCUCUUUUUACUUUCUGGUAUUCGCAGACAGAAACAGAGGUAUUUUCUACCUUCUUCAAUAAUAACAUCUUUGCUUUACAUCAAUAUUUACAGCUUAAUCUUAUUUGGUAGCUUCCACUCGAUUUUUUUACUACAAAUACUGAUUUUAUUUGUCACAAUUGCUUUCAUUUCUCUUUAUGUUAAUUCUUACUAAUAACCAAUGUUUUUGUUCAACCUCAUCAGACUAUCAACAAAAAUGGCCGAAUAUGUUGCCCCUCCUGCUGUCGAAAUUGUGGCAGACCAGGCAAAGGAAUACGCAUCACCCUAUCUUCGUUACUUUUUCCGUUAUGGAGAGAUUGUUGAAGAUUUCAAGAAUCAACGAGAAGCACUUGAAUUAAAGAAAGAGAGGGUGAAAAUUCGUGUCGAUGAGGCUGAAAGGCAAAAUGAGCUCAUCCAUAAGGACGUUGACAACUGGCUUACAAGCGCUGAGAAAGAACUGAAAGAAACCCAGAACUUGAAAGAUGAAAUAGAUCGCGUCAAGUGUUUCAAAUGGUGUCCUAAAUGGGGCUGGCGAUAUUCCUUAAGUAAGAAACUGGCAGAGAAGAUUCCUAUUAUCUCUAAACUUUUACAGACUUCUAACUUUGCACAGGUGGGCUAUCGUCGUCCUCUUCAAGGAAUAGAGUUCAUCACAUCCACUGAUUUCAUGGACUCUGAAUCUUCAAAAUCAGCUUUCAACCAGAUCAUGGAGGCUAUAAAUGCUAAGGGUGUCAACAUGAUCGGACUGCACGGAAUGCCAGGAGUUGGUAAAACAAGUUUAGCCAAAGAAGUUGGGAAGCAUGCUCGAGAACAAAAGUUGUUUGAUAAAGUUGUGAUGUUUACUAUGUCCCAAAAUCCAAACAUCAGAACAAUUCAAGAUAAAGUUGCAGAGAUGUUUGGUUUAAAUUUUCAUACAAAUACCGAAGAAGGGAGAGCAGAAGAGCUAUUCAGGAGUAUGCAAGGCGUGAACAAAAUCCUCGUAAUUGUCGACAACCUCUGGGAAGAAUUCAAAAUGGAGAGUAUCGGAAUUCCAUUCGGUGAUGAACACGAGGGUUGUAAAAUUCUUCUGACUACACGUCGUCAACAAGUCUGCACUAAAAUGAACUGUAAGGAAAUUCAACUUGGCAUCUUAUCCGAAGACGAAGCAUGGGUUUUAUUUCGAGAUAAAGCUGGUUUAGAAGAUGAUUGUUCCACCUUGAAUGAUGUAGCCAAAGAGGUUGCUGCUGAAUGUAAGGGAUUGCCUCUUGCAAUUGUUGUCGUGGCCAAAGCUUUAAAAGGUGAGAGUUUAAAUGGGUGGAGAGACGCAAAUCAGAGAUUCAAGGACUCAACGCUUUUGUAUGAUGAAGAAGUCCUCGGGGGUGUCCUCGAGCCUCUUAAGCUUAGCUACGAUUACUUGAAGAAAGGCAUUAACCAAACAACGGGAAAUCACAUCCAAAUGUGUUUCUUACUGUGUUCCCUUUUUCCUGAAGAUGAAGAAAUCCGUAUUGAGAUAUUGAUUAUGUGCGGAAUUGGAGUAGGAUUGUUCCCUAAUGAUUUCUCGAUUGAAGAAAAAAGGAAGAAAAUUGUUGAAGCACUAAAAAAACUCCAAAAAUCUGGCUUGUUAUUGGAAACUAAUGAUGCAGAUACGAUUAGCAUCCAUGAUGUGAUUCGAGAUUUUGCUCAUUGGCUAACAACAACGGGGGAAAAUAGGUUCAUGGUAAAAGAUACGUUGAAAGAAUGGCCUCGUAUGGAUGAAAGUUAUACUGCAAUCGCUUUAUGGAAUUGUAGUAUUAACAUAAAAAUAUUUCCUGAUAAAGUGGAAUUUUCAAAGCUCAAGAUUUUGUUUCUUCAUUGGGAAGAGUGGCAGGGGGAUGAUUUCCUAGUGGUUUCCGGUACAUUUUUUGAAGAAAUGAAAGCCCUCCAAGUUUUACUUCUCGAAUGUGUCAUUUUCUCACUGAAAGGAUUCCCUCCCUUAGCAAAUCUUAAAACUUUGUGCUGUCAUGAUUGCAUGCUGAAAAACUUCUCAUCAUCACUGACAAAUAUGAGAAGCCUUGAGAUUCUUGCAUUGAUUGACACUGAAAUUGAUGAGAUAAGUGAAGAAUUAGUGAAGUUGUCUGCACUGAAAUAUUUACGUCUUUCUGGUGUUGCAAUUAGAAGAGAAAUAAAUAUCCCCCCAAACUUGGUAUCAAGGUAAGAGUGCAUCAGAUUUAAUUUUCUUUUUAUCAUAUUCGUAUUUUGUUUGACAUCAUUUAUUUUCCUCUUAAUUCUUUAAUUGGUAUUUUAAUUUUAGAAUACUAGUUUUGACAUUAUUUAUCAAUUUAGUCCUUAUUCGGUUUUUAAUUAAAUUUAGUUAUGGACAUUUAAAAAAGAGCAUCAACCUUUUAAAAAAUGUUGAAUUAUUUUUUAACUAAAAUACUAAUUAAAAUGUUAAGUUUUUAAACAUGAACACCCACAUUCCAAUCCAUACUUACUUCAUGCUAUAUUUUUUUUAAUUUUAUGAUUUUUUUGGUUUUUUUAUUUCAAUUUUUUUAUAUUUUUGAAUAUUUUUAUAAAUUUAAAAUUAUUCAUAUAAGACAAAUAAUGUAAUGUCUGAAGUGUAUGUGCAUGUGGAUAGAUAUGUGGGUUGCCAAGGAAAAUAAAAAUUUUUAUUAACUAUAAUUAAGUGUUAUAUAUAUAUAUAUAUUAAAGUAAAUAUUAAAAUAUAUAUAUAAUAUUCAAUAAAAAUUAAUUAAGGAAGUUUAAUACAAUAAAGACUUUAAAUUUUAAUAAAACAUCAAGAUAAAUACUUAAUUUUUUUUUAAUAUUAGAUAUGUUUUAAUAUAUAUAUUAUGGAUAAUGUGUUAUUCAUGUCUCAAUUCAAGUAUAUCAACAUCAGCAAAAUUUUAAAAACAUUAAUUUUUUUAUUCAUUUUGAGAUGAUUUGAUAAAAAAACCACAAAUUUUAAGGUUAUAAAAGGUGAAAUUUUAAAUAGAAGGGUAAAAUGACUUUCUUAUAAAAUUUGAGAGUGAAAAAAAUUAUUAUAAAAAAAACAGAAAAUUUACUUAUGUUUUAGACCCAGAAAUUUUGAGGUAAAUUGUUAAAAAGAAAAAAAAAAUUAACCUCUUGAAAAUUUCUUUGAAAGUGAUAAAAAAAAAUUAGAGAUUUUUUAAAUUUAAUUUUAAUAGUGUCCUUUUAUUACUUAUCUUGAUUUGUUUCAAGUUUUUGUCUCUUUUUUUUUUUUACAUAUUUCUUUUUUAUGAAUUACUUUAAGGAAUUACAAUUUUUUUUUCCUCAUCGAUUUAAUGCUACUUUCUUUAUGAAUGUAAUAGGUUGACUUCACUAGAAGAGUUACAUGUCGUACCCAAAAUUAAUCUCAACUUAUUGGAGUUGAAGUCAUUGUCUCGUUUAACUGCACUAUCAUUGAGACUUUCUACUAAUCAAAUUCCUCUAGAAGAUUUUGUGCUCCCUAAACUACAAAGGUACUCUAUAGUAGUUGGAGAAAAUUAUAGAUUCAAUCGGGAGGCGUUUAGAAGAUUGGAUAUUCAAGAUUUCUCAUCUUCAUUAAGUGCAUUUAACAAUUUAUUUUGCAAUGUGGAAGAGUUGAAUUUGAGGAAUGUUGGUGGACAAAAGAAUAUUGUGCCAAGCAUAGAUGAAAUGGGAGUAAAUGAGUUGACUUCUCUGCAGCUAAAAUCUUGCAAUGAUAUGGAAUUCUUGAUUGAUACAAAAAAUGAUCAAGGGUCAACUGUUGCAUUCUCUAAUUUGGUGGAAUUAAAUAUAGAAAGCAUGGUUUCUUUGAAAGGGUUGUGCAAUGGUGUUUCUCCGACUAGGUUCUUGCAAAACCUUAAGCAAUUGAUCAUUAAAGAUUGUGAGGAGUUAGAAGUGAUAUUUCAAAUAGAUAAACUUUCUGAAAAAAUGAAACGUCAGACACCAUUGCUCUCAAAUUUAACAAUAUUGAGCCUACAUUCAUUGCCGAAAUUGAAGAGGAUAUGGGAAGUAAAGCCAUCCCAUCGUGCAAUUGCAAGCCUCCAAAGUCUAAAGGUUGUGAGAAUUGAAUCUUGUGAUAAUCUGAAAACAAUCUUCUCACCUUGCCUAGCUUUAAGUAUGUUGCAUCUACAAGAACUUGAUAUAAGGUACUGCAAUCGACUAGAGCAAGUCAUUGGUUUUGGCCAAGAAGACGAGAUUAUUGAGGUAGGGAUACCUAUUCUCUCCAAUUUUUUUAAUCUUCUUAAUUGUUUUAGCUUUAUGAUAGCAUUCUUUUAAGGAUGAAACAAAUUGCAAGAAAACCAAAAACCAAUUUGAAGUGAAGUGCUUGGUUUGGUAUUUAUUUUUAUAUUAUUUAUAUGUAUCGGGUUUGUUGGAAGCGUAGUGGCCACUAAAGAAAGUAACUUUUAUUACUCAAAACAAAUAUAUUUUCCUCUUCCUUUCAAUUACUACCUACAACUAGUCAUACACACCAUUCACUCUUUGCUUAUUUCCACUUUCAUGCACACAAAGUCACACACCUUUAUUUUGUUUCACACUCUUCCUUUUCUUCUCAUCCGCACGCUUGCUUAUACAUAUCACAAACAUAUUAAACCUAUUUGUAGGCUUAUAAACUGCAUCAUGAAUUGUUGUGUCUCUCCUUUUUAUUUAGAUUUUAUUGCUUUAUAGAAAAGCCUUCAAUUAAUUCCAUGCCACCUUUCUUCUAUCCUUGGAUUGCUAACUUACAAGGCCGGUUUGGUUUGAUAUUAUUGAAAAAUAUGAAACUAGCAUUUUGGUGUUAGAGGGAGUGCCUCUAUCCCUAGAGCACCAAAUCAAUAUAGAGAAAAUCUCCAUAUUUAUUAUAUUAUAUUGACAACUCAUUGAAUGACUUUUAUGGGCUAUGAGUACUGAGUCUAUGGUUGAUUUUUAGCCCAUUAUAGAAGAUCAUGCCACUUGAAAUAUUAUUUUUUGAAAAUUUGAUUGAUUCAAAAUUGCUCAAAAUAAUCUCUUGGAUCAUGAACUUUGUGAUUCUAUAUGAAAUUUAAAAUAAAUAACUUACUAAAAUGUGUUUGAAAUAUGCAGAAUGAUUGUCUUCUUUAUUGCUGGCCGAAAUUGAGAGAUCUAUACAUACAAGACUGUGAAAGUUUGAAAUAUAUUUCUACAAACACUUUGAUUCAAUCCUUGGAAUCUGUUCACAUAUUGAAUUGUCAUCAACUUAUACAAAUCUACAACAUGGAACAAAACAUUGUGCUUCCUGAACUUGGAUCACAGGUACUUUUAAUGAUUAAUAUUUUAAAAUUCAUAGAGUAUUUUUGCUUUCAUUUAUUUUUAAUGAAUAUUACUAUAUAUAUGUUUACAUAUUAUUACUUUUUAUAAUUGUAAUUUAUUGAUUUUUGAAAUUCUAAGUAUUCAAACAAACCGAUGCAGCCUUUAGCUUUUGUUCAAGAGCCACGCUCUUUAUUAUUUGUAUACUAAAAAUUAAAAUAGAGAAAUAUUAUAUAUUUAUUUUCUCAUGAUGUUACGCUUGAAUAUGUUUUUUUUAUAUUUUAUUUUAAUGUAAUAUAAUAAUUAUAUUUUAGAAAUUUAUUGAAUUAAUUUACCUUAUUAUGAUUUUUGUUUUGCUUUGAUAAUAUAUGUGAGAUAUUAAAAUUAGUGUGUGUAUAAAUAUAUAUUUAUAUCAUUGUACAAUCAAUUUAUUUUAGUGGUUAGAUUAAACUAACAAAUAUUAUUGGAUGACAGGAAUCUCUGGCAAAUUUAAAGUUAAUAUUAUUGCCAGGAUUGAAGUACAUGUGGAAUGGACCGAACCAUUACCUCCAUAGAGUAGAGAUAACUGAAUGUGAUAAAUUCACAUAUCUCUUUUCGGAAAUCACUGCUCGAACUUUGGUGCAUUUGCAAUUUCUCGAGAUUCGGAAUUGCAACUCUUUAGAACAUUUAAUCGGAGAAGCAGAAAACAUGGAUGAAAUAGAUGUUUCAAACAUAAAAGAUCAGUCUCCUCUGUUCUUGCCAAAAUUGAAACGUGUCACGAUUAUAAGAUGUGAAAACUUGAAAUAUUUGUGUUCAAGUCAAGGACUUCCCUACCUGGAAUCUAUUCAUAUAGAAGAUUGUCCUCGACUUACACAAAUCUUCAACAUGGAAAAAAAUAAGGAUGGAUUUAGAUUACAGGUAUUUGGACUCAAAUUCAUUUUUAUGUUCAUAAAAUAAUUAAUAUUUCAACCUUAUUUUAAAAGCUAUUUAUAAUUCAUUUAUUUUAAAAUUGAAUUAGCGAUUAGAAUUCUAUCACUCUCAUCGGCUAUUACCAUGAGUAUUGUAUUUUUGUUUUUCUUCAUAUCACAAAUAUAUGAAACCUUAUUAUAGGCUCAAAAAUCACCUCAUCAAUUGCCACCUCUCUCAUUUUAUGUUUAUUUUAUUUAUUUAUGGAUAAGCCUUCAAUUAAUUCCAUGCCACCUUGACUUUUGCCUAUGGAUUGCCCACUUAUAAGGUUUGUUUGACUUCAACACAAUUUACAUGAUAGAAGAAUGUAAUUAUUUAUAUAGAAGGAAAUUCUAUCUUUUAUUUAAUUUAUAAUAAUGCUUUAAUAUUUUUAUAAUUUAAAAUAAAUAUUUGCAUUUAAGUUGCUAAUGAUGUUUUAGUCUAAUAACAAAAUUAUUAUAUCUUAGAUAUUAACAAACAAUUUCAUUCUGCAUUCCUAAUUAUAAAAAAUAAAUUUAAUUUUAUUUAUUUCGAUUGUGUGUUUUAUAAACAGCUAUAAAAGAAACUAAAAGAAACUAAGCAGCAUAUACAUGUUUUUAUAUUUUAUCUUUUAAUUAAUAAUCUAUUUUUAUAUUGUUAUGCUCAAUUUUUUUAUAAUAAAAUAAAUAACUUACUAAGAUGUGUGUUUGAAACAUGUAGAAUGACUCUCCUCUUUGUUGUUGGCCGAAAUUGAGGAGUCUUCGCCUACAAUAUUGCCGAAAUUUAAAAUAUGUUUGUGCGACCACUUGGACUCAAGGGCUUCAAUCCUUGGAAUCUGUUUACAUAAGAGAUUGUUCUCAACUUAUACAAGUCUUCAACAUGGAACAAAAUAAGCAUGGACAAGAUAUUGUGCUUCCUGAACUUGGAUCACAGGUACUUCUGUAUUUACAUUUUUAAGGCUGAGCAAAGAGUUGAAAAAAUUGAAAGUUAAUAUGAAUUGUAGUGUUCAAUUCAAUUUUUUUAUUGAGUUUAAAUCAAAUAAAACAUGCACGUACCAUAUGACAACCAUUUAAAAAUAUAAAAAGUUAUAAUUUAAAAAUUAAAUUACAACUAUAUGUUUUUAAAAUUAGUAUAUCAAAUUAAUUUAUAAAUUUUUAUUAUCAAAUACUAAUAUACUGUAAUAUUCAUAUCAUAAAUAGUAAAAAUUAAAAUAGAGAAAUAUUAUAUAUUUAUUUUCUAUUGAUAUUAAGCUUUAAUAUAUUUAUUUAUAUUUUAUAUUUAUUUAAUAUAAUAAUGAUUAUUUAAAUUAUAUUUUAGAAAAUUAUUAAAUUAAUUUACCAUUAAAUGAUUUUUUUUUGCAAGGCUACCAUAUUUUAAUUUGAUAAUUUAUGUGAGAUAUUAAAACAGUGAGAUAUUAAUUUACCAUUAAAUAAUUUAUGAUUAUUUAAAUAUAACUAUUUAAAUUAUAUUUUGAGAUAUUUGUUUUAGAAAAUGCAUCAAGAAUUGUUGUCUCUCAUUUUUAUUUAGAUUUUAUCUAUUUAUAGAAAAGCCUUUAAUUAAUUCCAUGCCACUUUAUUCUACCUUUAGAUUGCUAACUUACAAGGUCAGUUUGAUAUUGUUGAAAAAUAUCAAACUCACAUUAUUUUAAUGUCAAAGGAAGUAUUCAUUCCCUAAAGCACCAAAUUGAUAUGGAGACCUUUGAGUUAUCUUUUGGAGAUUGGAUUAAUUUAAAAGCCCAAGACAAUCUCUUGGAUCAUAGACUUUGAGUUAGCUUAUUGCUUUUUUGGGGAGACACCAUGUGCAUCUAACCAUUGGUAUGCUAAAAGAAACUAAGCUGCAUAUACAUGUUUUUAUAUUUUAUCUUUUAAUUAAUAAUCUAUUUUUAUAUUGUUAUGCUCAAUUUUUUUAUAAUAAAAUAAAUAACUUACUAAGAUGUCUGUUUGAUACAUGUAGAAUGACUCCCCUCUUUGUUGUUGGCCGAAAUUGAGGAUUCUUCACAUAGAAUUUUGCCCAAAAUUGAAAUAUGUUUGUGCAAACACUUGGACUCGAGGGCUUCAAUCCUUGGAAUCUGUUUUCAUUAGAGAUUGUUCUCAACUUAUACAAGUCUUCAACAUGGAACAAAAUAAGCAUGGACAAGAUAUUGUGCUUCCUGAACUUGGAUCACAGGUACUUCUGUAUUUACAUUUUUAAGGCUGAGCAAAGACUUGAAAAAAUUGAAAAUUAAUUUGAAUUGUAGGGUUCAAUUCAAUUUUUUAUUGAGUUUAAAUCAAAUAGAACAUGCACGUACCAUAUGACAACCAUUUAAAAAUAUAAAAAGUUAUAAUUUAAAAAUUAAAUUACAACUAUAUGUUUUUAAAAUUAGUAUAUCAAAUUAAUUUAAAAUUUUUAUUAUCAAAUACUAAUAUACUAUAAUAUUCAUAUUAUAAAUAAUUCAUGCAUAAUUAUAAAUAGUAAAAAUUAAAAUAGAGAAAUAUUAUAUAUUUAUUUUCUAUUGAUGUUAAGAUUUAAUAUAUUUAUUUAAUAUAGUAAUGAUUAUUUAAAUUAUAUUUUAGAAAAUUGUUAAAUUAAUUUACCAUUAUAUGAUUUGUUUUUGCAAGAUUACCAUAUUUUAAUUUGAUAAUUCAUGUGAGAUAUUAAAACAGUGUUUGUAUAAAUAUAUAUUGAUAUCAUUGUAGAAUGAAUUUAUUUGAGUAGUGGUUAGUUCUACCUAAUAAAUAUUAUUUGAUGGCAAGAAUUUUGGUAAAUUUAACUAAUAAAUAUUGAUAUCAUUGACGGAAUUGAGGUGCAUAUGGAAUGAAUCGAAUCAUUGCGUUAACCUCUAUAGUCUGAAGACUAUUAGAAUAACUUAUCAAAGUCCAUUUUUAGAUAUUAAUAUUUUUAUUCAAAACUUCGGGUUGGAUUAAAAAAAAUUGUUUUCAUAAUUCUUUGAUUUAAAAGUUGAACGAGUAUCAGAGUUCAAUCUCUCUCAUCGACUUUUACAAUGAAUAUUGUAUUUUUAUAUUUUAAUUGUCAUGAUUAAUGAUUUUGAAGUGGUUGGGGCAUCACAGUUUCAAAAUAUAAUAAAUGUAUCUCUUUAUAAUUGGUACAUUCAAAGAUCAAUUGAUUUCUUUUUCUUAUGUUUUGGUAAAGAAAUUCUUUAAAAAUUAAAUUAUGUUUAAUAAAUCAUAUUCCUCAUUUUUAUUUAAACAAAUAUAUUUUGUAUAAUAUUUAAUUAUGUGGCUCAUUCAUGUAGAAUCAUUGCUGGACAAAACUGAAAACUCUCCAGAUAGAGCAUUGCCAACUAUUGAAAUAUGUGUUUGCAAACACUUUAUCUCAGGGAUUUCCAUUGUUGGAAUCUCUUUACCUAAAGAAUUGCCCUCAACUACUACAAGUCUUCAGUUCGACAGAAGAAAGGGAUGUGAUUGGUGAUCACAUUCUACUUAAUGUGCCCUUUCUGAAAAAUUUAGAAGUGUCAAAUUGUCCCCAAAUCUCAUGCUUCAUUGUACAAGCUCAGCUCAUAGAGGUAUUUAGAUUGUUCGCAUUUUAUAUAUGGAUUUUGGCACUAUAGCAAAUCAGUAAAUCGAUAUGUUGCUUAGUUUAUGUGAUAAUUCAUUCCUAUUUUAUACAUAGUUUGAAAAUGAAUUCCAUUGUUCACUCUUUAAAUAAAAAUGUAUCAAGCAAUGGCCUUUUGUGUUUAAUUAAUUUGGAAGAUAUUUUAGGGGUUUAGAUUUUAAAAAUAUAUCCUUUAAAAAAAUCAAAGAUACAUGUAGCAUUGAGAUUAGAGAAGUAGUAUUUUCUAUUACUUGGAAUAUGUAAAAUUAUGAAGACUUAUGGAUAACAUUUACUCUAGUGUGUUUUUAUGACAUUUAUUAGGAUUUCUAUGUAUGCAAGAAUUGGUUCUUAGUAACGUGGGAAAUAGCCGCCAAUUAUGCAACACUGAUGUUCCUGUAUUGAAUGAAGGCUAUAUAGUAGUUGGGAAUCAUGAAGAAGUAUUUCCAGUUCAAGGCGGGUACUCGUUCUCAAGCAUAAAAAAAUUGAAAUUGAGGAAUUUAUUUGAAGCACGGGUUAUAUGGAACAAUUUUGCUCAAGUUGUAACCCUUGAGAACCUUACAACUCUAACACUGAGUGAUUGCAAGAAGCUAAGAUAUAUUUUUUCACCUAUGAUGGCUCGCAGUUUAUCACAUUUGAAGUAUCUUUCCAUCGAGGGGUGUGAGGAAAUAGAACGACUCAUUUUAGACAAGGAUCAAGUUUCUUCAUCAUCAUCAAAUGGUGAUACUAGCCUCCAACCUAUGAGCUUUCCAAAUUUGACUGAGAUUGUUGUUAUAGAUUGUAAAAAUUUGAGCAGUCUCUUUCCUUUUGGAUUUGCUCCUGUUCUUCCAAAGCUUGAAAGGCUCAUAGUAGAAAGAAAUUCUAAAUUGGAACAAGUAUUCGA